AUUGAACGCUGGCGGCAGGCUUAGCACAUGCAAGUCGAGCGGGGGAAGGUAGCUUGCUACCGGACCUAGCGGCGGACGGGUGAGUAAUGCUUAGGAAUCUGCCUAUUAGUGGGGGACAACAUCUCGAAAGGGAUGCUAAUACCGCAUACGUCUUACGGGAGAAAGCAGGGGAUCACUUGUGACCUUGCGCUAAUAGAUGAGCCUAAGUCGGAUUAGCUAGUUGGUGGGGUAAAGGCCUACCAAGGCGACGAUCUGUAGCGGGUCUGAGAGGAUGAUCCGCCACACUGGGACUGAGACACGGCCCAGACUCCUACGGGAGGCAGCAGUGGGGAAUAUUGGACAAUGGGGGGAACCCUGAUCCAGCCAUGCCGCGUGUGUGAAGAAGGCCUUAUGGUUGUAAAGCACUUUAAGCGAGGAGGAGGCUCUUUUGGUUAAUACCCAAGAUGAGUGGACGUUACUCGCAGAAUAAGCACCGGCUAACUCAGUGCCAGCAGCCGCGGUAA
RNAcentral lists this ribosomal RNA (503 nucleotides) under uncultured bacterium. Its description in RNAcentral is "partial 16S ribosomal RNA". It matches the Rfam family "Bacterial small subunit ribosomal RNA", at positions 30 to 523 of the family's 1533-position model. The record is from RNAcentral.